AUGUGGCUAGCUCAGUUGGUAGAGCAUUUUACUAUAGAUUAGAGGAUCCCAGGUUCAAUCUCCGGCCCGGCCCUAUA
Molecule: transfer RNA, 77 nt
Filed under: Dreissena polymorpha
Lineage: Eukaryota; Metazoa; Mollusca; Bivalvia; Myida; Dreissenidae
Description: tRNA-Tyr
Source: RNAcentral